AAACCAACAGGGAUUGCCUCAGUAACGGCGAGUGAAGCGGCAACAGCUCAAAUUUGAAAUCUGGCCCUAGGGUCCGAGUUGUAAUUUGUAGAGGAUGCUUUUGGUGAGGUGCCUUCCAAGUUCCCUGGGACGGAACGCCAUAGAGGGUGAGAGCCCCGUCUGGUUGGACACCAAACCUCUGUAAAGCUCCUUCGACGAGUCGAGUAGUUUGGGAAUGCUGCUCUAAAUGGGAGGUAUAUGUCUUCUAAAGCUAAAUACCGGCCAGAGACCGAUAGCGCACAAGUAGAGUGAUCGAAAGAUGAAAAGCACUUUGAAAAGAGGGUUAAACAGUACGUGAAAUUGUUGAAAGGGAAGCGUUUAUGACCAGACUUGGGCAUGGCUGAUCAUCCGGUGUUCUCACCGGUGCACUCUGCCGGUCCAGGCCAGCAUCAGUUCGUUUCGGGGGAUAAAGGCGGCAGGAACGUGGCUCCCUCGGGAGUGUUAUAGCCUGUCGUGUAAUGCCCUGGGGCGGACUGAGGUUCGCGCUUCCGCAUGGAUGCUGGCGUAAUGGUCAUCAACGAC
RNAcentral lists this ribosomal RNA (561 nucleotides) under uncultured fungus. Its description in RNAcentral is "eukaryotic LSU rRNA". It matches the Rfam family "Eukaryotic large subunit ribosomal RNA", at positions 62 to 648 of the family's 3401-position model. Lineage: Eukaryota; Fungi. The record is from RNAcentral.